UAGGGAAUCUUCGGCAAUGGACGAAAGUCUGACCGAGCAACGCCGCGUGAGUGAAGAAGGUUUUCGGAUCGUAAAACUCUGUUGUUAGAGAAGAACAAGGACGUUAGUAACUGAACGUCCCCUGACGGUAUCUAACCAGAAAGCCACGGCUAACUACGUGCCAGCAGCCGCGGUAAUACGUAGGUGGCAAGCGUUGUCCGGAUUUAUUGGGCGUAAAGCGAGCGCAGGCGGUUUCUUAAGUCUGAUGUGAAAGCCCCCGGCUCAACCGGGGAGGGUCAUUGGAAAAUGGGAGACUUGAGUGCAGAAGAGGAGAGUGGAAUUCCAUGUGUAGCGGUGAAAUGCGUAGAUAUGUGGAGGAACACCAGUGGCGAAGGCGGCUCUCUGGUCUGUAACUGACGCUGAGGCUCGAAAGCGUGGGGAGCAAACAGG
Molecule: ribosomal RNA, 429 nt
Filed under: Gemmatimonadota bacterium
Lineage: Bacteria; Pseudomonadati; Gemmatimonadota
Description: Gemmatimonadetes bacterium partial 16S ribosomal RNA
Rfam family: Bacterial small subunit ribosomal RNA
Source: RNAcentral